GAUGAACGCUGGCGGCGUGCCUAAUACAUGCAAGUCGAGCGAACAGACGAGGAGCUUGCUCCUCUGACGUUAGCGGCGGACGGGUGAGUAACACGUGGAUAACCUACCUAUAAGACUGGGAUAACUUCGGGAAACCGGAGCUAAUACCGGAUAAUAUAUUGAACCGCAUGGUUCAAUAGUGAAAGACGGUUUUGCUGUCACUUAUAGAUGGAUCCGCGCCGCAUUAGCUAGUUGCUAAGGUAACGGCUUACCAAGGCGACGAUGCGUAGCCGACCUGAGAGGGUGAUCGGCCACACUGGAACUGAGACACGGUCCAGACUCCUACGGGAGGCAGCAGUAGGGAAUCUUCCGCAAUGGGCGAAAGCCUGACGGAGCAACGCCGCGUGAGUGAUGAAGGUCUUCGGAUCGUAAAACUCUGUUAUUAGGGAAGAACAAAUGUGUAAGUAACUAUGCACGUCUUGACGGUACCUAAUCAGAAAGCCACGGCUAACUACGUG
RNAcentral lists this ribosomal RNA (497 nucleotides) under uncultured bacterium. RNAcentral describes it as "partial 16S ribosomal RNA". It matches the Rfam family "Bacterial small subunit ribosomal RNA", at positions 28 to 507 of the family's 1533-position model. The record is from RNAcentral.